UUGUGGAGGAGGACGCCGAAGGUGGGGCUAAUGACUGGGGUGAAGUCGUAACAAGGUAGCCGUACCGGAAGGUGCGGCUGGAUCACCUCCUAACAGGGAGACAACAAAAUGUUAAAUAUUAAUUUUGUCACCUUAGGUCGAUCGGUAUCUCACAUUCUUAAUCAAUUUAAGAAUUUUAUUUCCUAAGUUUUUCUAGGUCACACCCAUCAUUUUUCCUGGGCCACUAGCUCAGGUGGUUAGAGCGCACCCCUGAUAAGGGUGAGGUCCCUGGUUCAAGUCCAGGAUGGCCCAUAUCUCUAUGUUGGGGGUAUAGCUCAGUUGGUAGAGCGCCUGCUUUGCAAGCAGGAUGUCAGCGGUUCGAGUCCGCUUACCUCCACUGAUUACCACCUCCUCCAUAAGUUAUAAAAGGGAAAUUUUGAGUUGUGGUCUAAUUCUGAACGAAUCCAGCUUCCUAAUUAAACUUAAUUAAGAUGCUGGACUCAUUGAAUUAAUUUCAUUGUUUUCAGAGAACCUUGACAACUGCAUAGAUUAUUUUUAAAGACAAUAAGCAUCUUUAAUGAUGCAGAUUUAUUAUUUGUGCGAAUGCAUUAAUAACAAUUCUAUUAAGCUGAUGCUUCAAUUUUGAAGUUAUUGGUCAAGCUACAA
This 645-nucleotide unclassified non-coding RNA is filed under the name uncultured Prochlorococcus sp. Its description in RNAcentral is "partial 16S-23S ribosomal RNA intergenic spacer; may also contain 16S ribosomal RNA and 23S ribosomal RNA". The stretch from base 304 to 376 matches the Rfam family "tRNA". Lineage: Bacteria; Bacillati; Cyanobacteriota; Cyanophyceae; Synechococcales; Prochlorococcaceae. The record is from RNAcentral.